RNAcentral lists this ribosomal RNA (1016 nucleotides) under uncultured bacterium. RNAcentral describes it as "bacterial SSU rRNA". It matches the Rfam family "Bacterial small subunit ribosomal RNA", at positions 335 to 1341 of the family's 1533-position model. The record is from RNAcentral.
ACUCCUACGGGAGGCAGCAGUGGGGAAUCUUGCGCAAUGGACGAAAGUCUGACGCAGCCACGCUGCGUGAGUGAAGAAGGCCUUCGGGUUGUAAAGCUCUGUCGAGCGGGACGAAAAAUUAUUAGGUGAAUAGCCUAGUAAUCUGACGGUACCGCUAAAGGAAGCACCGGCUAACUCCGUGCCAGCAGCCGCGGUAAUACGGAGGGUGCAAGCGUUGCUCGGAAUUAUUGGGCGUAAAGGGUAGGUAGGCGGUCUCAUUUGUCUGGGGUGAAAGCCUUGGGCUUAACUCAAGAAGUGCCCCAGAAACGGUGAGACUGGAGUCCUGGAGAGGGUCGUGGAAUUCCCGGUGUAGCGGUGAAAUGCGUAGAGAUCGGGAGGAACACCAGAGGCGAAAGCGGCGACCUGGACAGGCACUGACACUCAACUACGAAAGCGUGGGGAGCAAACAGGAUUAGAUACCCUGGUAGUCCACGCUGUAAACGAUGGGUACUAGGUUUGGAGGGUCUUGACCCCCGCCGAACCGGCGCUAACGCACUAAGUACCCCGCCUGGGAAGUACGGUCGCAAGACUAAAACUCAAAGGAAUUGACGGGGGCCCGCACAAGCGGUGGAUCAUGUGGUUUAAUUCGAAGCAACGCGAAGAACCUUACCUGGAUUUGACAUCCUCUGACAACCCUAGAGAUAGGGCUUCUGUAGCAAUACAGCAGAGAGACAGGUGCUGCAUGGCUGUCGUCAGCUCGUGUGGUGACAUGUUGGGUUAAGUCCCGCAACGAGCGCAACCCUUGUCCUUAGUUGCCAGCAUUCAGUUGGGCACUCUAAGGAGACUGCCGUGGUGAACACGGAGGAAGGUGGGGAUGACGUCAAGUCCUCAUGGCCUUUAUAUCCAGGGCGACACACGUGAUACAAUGGACGGUACAGAGGGACGCCAAGAGGCAACUCGGAGCUAAUCUCAAAAAGCCGUUCUCAGUUCGGAUUGGAGUCUGCAACUCGACUCCAUGAAGUUGGAAUCGCUAGUAA